This is a non-coding RNA of Coffea arabica (coffee), 827 nucleotides long. NCBI's taxonomy places the organism in Eukaryota, Viridiplantae, Streptophyta, Magnoliopsida, Gentianales, Rubiaceae. The record is from RefSeq and is a predicted model, not a curated record.
UUUUUGUUUUAGGUGGAGUUUUGGAAACUACAUGUGACGAGACAGUUCUAAGGAUGGGAAAAAAAAUAUGGUGAUGUUAUCACUUGAUUAGGGCUAGAACUCACAAAAGGGGAUUCCAAUUUACAAGUGGUGGUGAAAAGAAAUCCUGCGAAGGAAGAUGGUGAAUUGAGACAUCUUCUCACGAGUCAACUAGAGGUUGGAUUCGAGAUGGCCCUGGACGUCAGUCUUGUACCUGACAGCCCAUAUGAUCCCGAGAGAGCACAACAGGGAACACAAAGAUGGGAUCCAAGACCUGUGGCAGAAGGAGGCCCGGCCUGUAGAGGAGGCAGCGCUGAAGAGGAGGAUGAGGGCUGUGGAAUGGAAGAGGAAGAGGAAGAAGAAACAGUAGAGUUGGGAGAUUUCUUUGCGGACGGAGUCGAUUUAAGUCUCCUUGAGGGCUAUUUUGUUGACGAUUAGCUCUUCUUCCUUGAGCCAUUGCUUGAGGAGAAGCUUUGUGAGUCAGGGUCUCGGCUUUCUGGUGGAGCGGGAUGAAGGGGCUUCGACGCCAUGAUCUGUUUUUCUUUAAAUUGUUUUCAUUAUUUCUGGCCGUUUGUAUGUGUCGCUCUAUUAAUCUAAGGGGCAAAACUUGUAAAUAAUGAUGAUGGGCAAAUCAACGCUAGAAUUUUCAAUUGGACAGCCGACUUUGGAAAGUCAUUCCGACGGGCAAUCCAAUGCUAUGAUUUUGGGCAGAUUCGAGAUUAUAGCCCAUGUCCUAUCAUCUUGUCAGGUGUUGGUUCUUACAAUUUGAUUUUGCAUGUUUCGUCUUUCAUGCGUUUAAACCGUAAAAA